UUAAUUGAAACCAAAGUAGAGGUAUAUCACUGUUAAUGAUAAAAUUGGACCACUCUCCCAAUUAAA
This 66-nucleotide transfer RNA is filed under the name Paulhutchinsonia pilosicollis. Its description in RNAcentral is "tRNA-Asn". Lineage: Eukaryota; Metazoa; Arthropoda; Insecta; Coleoptera; Cerambycidae. The record is from RNAcentral.